AAACUGCUGGAAUUACAAGCAUGAGCCACCGCACUUGGCCAACUCUGGUUCUUUCUACUUCAAAAAAUAUCUCAACAAAUUUUCAGUUCAAGCUAAAAAAAUUUAUACGACCUCUUCCAUACAUAUUGUACCAAAUGCUAGAAGGGGUAUAAAAAAAGGUUAUCUAUCACCCCACCACUAAGGGAUUGGCAAAGACCAUUUUGUUAACUAUAUGAACUGCAAGAUUCAUCAUGGACAUGUGUUUCAAAAUAAUCCUUCCAAGGAGACUUACAAAGACAGCCCCAACCCGUUCAGAGACAACCACAGGUACUCACCCGAGCAGCUUCCACAAUCGCACUUUCAAACUCUCGGUUAUAAACCAAAAAACUGUGAAUUCUUCUUGGCUUGUAAAGAUACACAAAAAAUUCUCUAUCAUCUCAGAACAGUCUAUCUGGUUAG
RNAcentral lists this long non-coding RNA (438 nucleotides) under Homo sapiens (human). RNAcentral describes it as "HSALNT0194587". Lineage: Eukaryota; Metazoa; Chordata; Mammalia; Primates; Hominidae. The record is from RNAcentral.